This 13363-nucleotide long non-coding RNA is filed under the name Gossypium raimondii (Peruvian cotton). RNAcentral's name for it is "long non-coding RNA (GRAI_LNC006851)". Lineage: Eukaryota; Viridiplantae; Streptophyta; Magnoliopsida; Malvales; Malvaceae. The record is from RNAcentral.
AGAUGACUUUACUAAACAUCAAAAGCCAUUGAUGAUAUGCAGAGGAGAAUCUGCUGACUUGUCAGCUUAGAUGGCUGGACCGCGUACCGCCACCUAUGCUCGGCACUUGGUCUUGCACAAGGCAGCACAGCCUUUGGUCUUUAUUCCACACUCUUCGCGUGGUAGCCUUGUGGCCGAAAGAGGCUAUUCACCACCACUACCAAUUUGUUACAUAAUUAUUUUAACUUACAUUACGAGUGUAUCGUAAUCUAGAUCUAUAUAAUGUUCUUGAUUCAAUACUAAUUCAAUCAAGAAAAUUAUUAAAAAAAUAUUUUUUUAAAUAAUAAAUAUUAAUAAAAUGAUGUUUUUUUACUAAUUUUAUAUAAAGUAUUUAAAUAAAAUAACCAAAAACUAAAUGUCUAUUGAACUCAGGGUUAAUAAGAGUUUAAUUAUAAAUAUUUUAUUAUUCAAUUAUUAAAUAAAUUUAUAAAUAUAAAUGUCAUGUUAAGUAAAGAUGAUAAAAGCAUUUUUAAAAAAAAUACAUAGUAUUUGCUUUAAAAAGUACAUAUUAUUAUUCUUUUGUAUAUUCUACCCUGAAUUUUCAAAAUACUUUCUAGUACAAGAGUUUUUAAAAAGUAUAGUAGCAAAUUAAAAAAAAAAGCUAAUAUAAAUAUCACAAGGUAAUUAAGCUGAUUUUUAAGGCAAGAGAUUUGCCAAGAUUUUAUAAACAAGGACAUUGAAAUUUCGAAAUAAAAUAUUUUAAGAAUCAUCUGAAAUAAAAUUCGAAUUAAAAAUCGUUUCAGGGAAUUCGGUAAGAAAAAAAGACAAGACAGAGAAUCAACCAUUUUGUUACAUUUAUUUAUAACAUAUCCUUCAUAUCAAUGUAAAAGAUUUAUUUAUUUUGGCUUUGAAACGAAGCUAGCUAGGAUUUGACGCGGCAUUUUAUGACACAGGCUUCGCAUGCUCCAAAUUUCUCAUGCCACGAAUCACCUCGCCUUCCUCUCUAUAUAAACCUCUGCCUCUCUCCCACCAAUUUCAACCAAAAGUCUCCACUGGUCGUUCAAAGUCAAAGUAAAAAACAAAACCUCCUUUCUCAUAUAUCUCGGGAUAUCAUCAUCAUGAGUAGCUCAAAGUCAUGUGUCAUCAUGCAUGAUGCUGCUGAUGUUAAUAUUAAAAGGUUUCAAAGCAGCUCAAACUUGAGCAUCAUCAUGUAUGUUGAUGGUGUACUUGUUUCAAACUCAAACUUACCGGGUAAAAAUGACGGCAGCUACAGCCGAGCUCCACCUGCACUUGAAGAUGGUGAUGGGGACGAUGACGACAACGAUGGUGAUUAUGAUUAUGCUCCAGCAGCUUAAUUUUAAGGGAUUAUAAUAACAUCUUGUCAAAACCCUAGCUGUAGUUUUACUUAAUGCUCUAAAACCCUAGUUAGUAUGCUGCAUACUCAUUACUCGAUGUUAUCGUUAAUCAAUAAAUUGGUUUUCCUUUGUUAUUUUUUUGUUAAGUAAUCAAAAGAUUGACCUUUGUUGUUUGAUAUAAUACAUUCAAAUGAUUAGGAGAUGUCACGUAAAUUAAUUAACCCAACAUGUUAGCAAAUAUAUAUAUAAAUUAAUCAGAUACUUGAUGAAUAGAUCCACCAACAUAGCUUAUGUGAUGCUAAUCGUUUAAUUAAUUAUUAGUUGCUAUUAAUAAUUAAUAGAUAUCAUGAUGGAUUUUUUUUUUUUUGGGAAUUGUAUAUGAUGACUCAAAGUCCAUGCAUUUGUACGUGCAUGCUUGUGAAAUGUUGUAUGAUACGUACUUUGUACAACACAUGAACCAAUAUCCAAUUCUUCGCCUAUUUUUUUCAUUAGUUAAUUCUCUACUAACCUAUAUAAUUAGCAUCAAAUACUAAUAAUUAUAAUGUUAAUAUGUAUAUAUGCGAGAUGUACAUUAAAAAAAAACUUGAUUUAUUAUUUAAAAAUUAAAAAUUAAAAAUCAGUGUGGAAGAAGUAAGGCCACAUGAUGAUAAUUAAUUUAUAAUUCAUAUUCUAUCUUCGAUUUUGAAUAAUAUUAUUUUCUAAAUUUAGUGUUAAGAUAAAAUAUUGUUUAAUUAAUAUAAAUUUUGUGUUUAAUUUUAAAUUUUAUAUAUGAUAUAUUUUAAUGCAAUAUCAAACUUAUUCAUGAUCAACACAAACAUGUUUGAUAAGAUUUAAAAUUAAAACUCGAUUAAGCUUAAUCUAUAAACACUUAUAUACACACACUUUUACUAUUUUCAUUCUUUACCAAAUGUAUUACUCUUAUAAUAGCAUGACUAUUUUGAUUUAUGUUAUUAAAAUAUAUUAUUUUUAUUACUCGUUUGAAGACUACUUAUUUUUUUUAAAAGUUAAUUAUAUACGCAUAUAUAUUAUCAGAGUUCUUUUUCACACAUAAUAGGUGUGAGAUAAUCUAAUAUGUGAAAAAAAACAUAAAAUCGAGUCUCAACUCAAUUGUGAAAAUAUAUAAAAAAAAUGCACCAUACAUAUAUCAUACAUAUUAAUAAUGAGAAUCAUAAGAUUUGAACUUACAUCAAUUUUUAUUUUUAUAAUUUUUUAUAUUUUUUACCCACAUUGGAGGUAAAACUAAGUUGUAAAUUCUAGCUUCUUUUUUUUUUGCUAAGAUGGCUUAAUUUUUUUUUAUUCUCCAUAUUCGUGAUUACCUCUCUCAAUAGGGGGAAAUCUAGAAAAAUUUUAGGGGCUAGAGUUGAAUUAUAAAUUUUUGAGAGAUCAAAAUAUAAUUUUAUCAUGUAUUAAUUUAUGAUUUUAUUAUUUGCUGAAGGGACAUAAUAAUUUUUUUUCAUUCUUGGGAGGGUUAAAGUGCAAUUUGAUUAUAUAUUACUUUAUAAUUUAAACAUUUCUUAAGAAGCCUGCAUAGCAAAUUUUUUCAUUUUAGGAGGGUCAAAACCUUGUCUACACCCUCUAAAUUUGCCUCUAUCUCUUAACAAUGUCACAUCCAAAGUUUGAACUUAUAUAUCCUUUUAGGAGUACAAUGUAUCUUAUCAUCGCAAUCAAUAAUCGUUAGUGCUAUUAUGGCUUAAUUAAUCAAUGAAUAAUGGAGAAUAUCUUUAGGAAAGCUAAUUGAGGGAAUAUAAUCUUAAACUUAAUUAAGGCAAGUAUAUAUACAUACGCAGACAAGUUGACGCAAGGCAUGUUGCUAAUUCAAGAUUAACAACGAUGUUUUUCAACUUAAUUUUAAUUUAACAUAGUUUAAGUCGAGUCAAGUGUGAAUUUAUAAUUGGUUAAUCUUUUAGCAGUAGUUUCAACAACAGGCACUACUAGGCAAUUAACUAUUGAAUAAUCUAUCUUCAAAUUAAUAAUUAUGAAUUUUUAUGGCCAAAAAGAAAUAAUUAUGAAUUCCAUUCCCACCUUUUAGAAUCACUUUAAAUUAAAUUAACACCAAUUAAUAUAAUAAUAAUAAAAACAAGAACACUAACACUAACAUGAAGAGGUUUUUUUUAUCAUUGAACUUAAGAUAUGGUAAGGAUUUAAUACCAAAGAAGUGUGUGUUUAUAUCCAUCAAUAUUCCCCUAAUUAAUCAGAGAAACUAAAUUUAAUUAAAAUUGAAACUUGAAUUCUAAUAUUUGUAAUUUUUCUCUGGACACAUUAGUUUGCCAUUCAUCUGAAAAUGUUGAGCAAAAUGUGAUUAUGUUGCCAUGAUGAUGCCACAACUAUUAGGCCAUAGCUAGCUCCAAACCACAUGUUAGAAGAUAAUGGGCUUCACUUUUUCAUAUCCUGCAAAAGCAGCAAUAUGAUUUAAUUUCUUUCUUUUUUCAGAUUGUAGUGUGUAGCCCACCACCCUGCCCCGGAGAUGACUUUACUAAACAUCAAAAGCCAUUGAUGAUAUGCAGAGGAGAAUCUGCUGACUUGUCAGCUUAGAUGGCUGGACCGCGUACCGCCACCUAUGCUCGGCACUUGGUCUAGCACAAGGCAGCACAGCCUUUGGUCUUUAUUCCACACUCUUCGCGUGGUAGCCUUGUGGCAGAAACAGGCUAUUCACCACCACUACCAACACCACCAUCUAUAUAAGCACUUACGGAUGGCUCUCAAAUCCAAACCAAGUUACAUAUUGAAUUUGAGCAUAAUUCAACGCCAAACACAAGCCACCAUUAGACCCAUUUUUAAACCCCAGUUCCUCCUUUGUUACAGAAGUAGAACGAAAAUGUCGCCUUUAUCCAAGGUUGUUGCUUCAUGGUGCAAGAAGCAUGCAGAUGGAGAUGAUGAUGACAAUGAUUUUGACUAUGCUCCCGCAGCAUGCAUGGAAGGCAAUGGCGACGAUGAUGAUGGAGACUAUGACGUUGCUCCAGCAGCUUCUCUCGAGGGCGAUGAUGAUGACGAUGGCAGCUAUGAUUAUGCUCCAGCUGCAUGAUUGGAGUGAGGUUUAUGAGUGCCCCUUACCGUGGGGUUUCUAACCCAAAACUUUUUGCAAUUCUAUUAUGGAGUGAGGUUUAUGAGUGCCCCCCCCCCCGGUGGGGCUUUAAAGCACCUUGUGAUUUUGGGUUUAUAAGGAUUAUUUUAAUUAAAUGAUAUUCAAGGAAAACAUGGGAUCGUAUUUUAUGUCAGCUAUCGUUAUUAUUUUAGCAAUCUGUGACAAACGUGGAAGCAAUUAAAUAAUUUAUUGCAGUUUUGUACUUUAGCAUAAUCCAUUGUUUUAAAAGAAUGUUUUCUUAUCUGUUGGUGUUAUGGUAAAUAUCAGUCAAACAAGUCAAUGUAGAGCUAAUUAAUCACUGGUUUGAUGGGGACCUAAAAGGUCAGACUCUAAACUUGAAAAUAAAAUCUAGUAACUGAUAUUGUUGCUUUUUUAUUUUUUAAAAGUACUUGUGUUUUAAGGCAUAUCUAAAUAUAAGUAAGACUGUAAGAGAAGAUAAAUAAAGCUGGUUGUUUUCAUGUUCCAAUCAAAAGAAGAUGCUGACACUAUGGAAGGGCAUUAUGAAAAAUUCCCAAGCUAGGUUAACAAAAUCUUGCGGGCCGAUUAGGCGGGCAGUGGGGGAUGGUAAAAGUGUUUUAUUUUGGCACGAUUGCUGGUUCGCGGAUAAGGAGUUGAAGUUGCUUUUCUCGAGGCUUUAUGGAAUAGCAUCGUUGAAAUGGGUUACUGUGACAGAUGUGUAUGGGCAUCAAUACUGUACUAAGAUUGAUUGGAAUAAGCUUGGUGAAAGUAUUAUAUAAACUUUUGUAUUAAAAAUUAAAUUGUAUUUUUUAUUAUAAAAUUGUUAAAUCAAUUUCAAGAGGAAAUUGCUCUUUUGCUAAAAAUUAUAUUUAUUUCUAAUGUUAAGUGAUGAUAUUAUGUUACUGUGUUUACUUAAAAAAUUUUAUCAAUUUCACUAUUUGUUAAAACUUCUUUCAUUUCUUUUUUUAAAAUUUUUAUCCAUUCAUUUUACUUGAACUAGUCCCUCCAAGUCAAUAUGAGAUACACAUGACUUGUUACUUGUCAUUGUUUGGUUGCUGCAUCAGCCACACGUCAACACUUAACAGAAAAAGUUCAAGAAAUUUUUAAUAAAAAAGAAUAGUUUGCUCUUUUAUCUAAUAUAUAUGGACUAAUCUAUCAAUUUUUUGAGUAGAGAGGACAAAUGUAAUACGAUUUCUUAGUAUAGAGCUUCUAUGGUAUUUUUACCGAGUAAGAUUUUUAUAAAGGAGUUGUUCAAAUAAAUGUAGAUCAUGUACUAAUCGUAUUAUCUGGAUUAGAGAUACGGCUGGGAAUUUUUCAGUUAAGAGGGUAACUUUGUUAAUGGCAGAGGAGAUUGAACAACAUUGUGAUUUGGGAUUUGGAAAAUUGUGGAUUUUAUUGAUACCGUCGAAGGUGAAGGCUUUUUAGUUGCUUGUCAUUCAGAGAAUCCCUACGAAAUAUUUUCUUACAAAGAGAGGGAUUAAGCUGAGUUUGAAUAAGCUUUAAUGCUGUGGGUGUAACAAGUUCGAAGAGACUGGCCCUGUCUCUAACACGGUAUGUGAUCAUGUAUAUGAAUCCUAGUCAUCAUAUACCAUAUCAGUUUCUUCAAAUAAAUGUUAGCUGAAAGGAAAAAUAUAGCCGCUAGGAAAGGCCAGCAAUUUUUUAGCAGAUCCAUGAAUAUUACUAAACUCAUGCCUUUGUGUGAACUUCAGAUGAUAAUCUUAACUUCUAAAAUCAGAUGCUAAAAUGAUACAUGAAAUGAUUCUAUGGGAUAAAACUACAAAAUUAUAUGAUUUUUCAUGUAUAUAAAAUAUUUUACGAUUUUUUUAUAAAUAAAACCAUUCAAAAAUCAUAAAAAUCUAACUCAAAUAAAUUUUCGAGUUAAAGAUGGUUCUGUAACAGCCCCAUUUUGGGUCUAGAUGGAACAGUGGUUUUUGGACACAAAUCUGACGAGGAAAAAAAAUGUAAUGGCCUGAAUUUUCAGAGGUGUCGGAACGGUGAUUCGAGAUCACUAAAUUCGACAAAUGAGUAGAAAAUAUUAUUAAUUUAGUGAGUAUAAGUUAAAUGUGAAGUUAGGAAAAUUUUUGAAAUAGUGAAUAGUGCACUAGAAAUAAAUAUUAAAAUAAUUAGAAUAAAAAAUAGGGUAUCGAGACCUCGGAGAUUUUAAAUCGAGCCAUAAAUAUUUUUAUAAAUAUUUAUGGAGUGUUAAAAAGUUAGUAUUAAAGUUUCGUUAAGAAAUUUUAAAGUUCCGAUAAUUAAUUGAACAAAAAGGACUAAAUUGUAAUAAAUGCAAAAUUAUGGGAAAUGAUUAAAUAGCUUAAAUGAUAAAAGGAAGAGGGCUUCAAAGGAAAAUAGACCCAAGGUCUAUUUGGGGUGGACGGCAAAGGCAUGAAAUCAGCAACAAAGUAAGGAGAAAUAAGGGCAAAAUUGAAAUAUUGCAAAAUUUACUUAAUAAAGAUAGGACCAAAGUGGAAUUAUCUAGAUUUCUCUUUAUUUUUCUGCAAUCUCAUCAGAAAAAACACCAUAGAAGGGUUUCCUUGAGCUGGUUCUUCCUAUUUUUACUGCAGGUAAGUUCAAUUCUUGAUUAUUUCUUGAAAUUUUGGUGUUUUUGUGACUUUUACAACUAGGCCCACUUGUUGUAUUCAUUAGUUUUUGAUUCUAUGAAAGAAGUUGAAAGUUGCUAUGAAUACAUGUUGGAAAUAUAUGAUGAUUUAGGAUGGAAUUAGAGCUUUAAAUUGUUCAUAUGCUGAUUUUAUUGAAAGAAUUGAAUAGAAAGUGAAUGUUUGAGACCUAAUAGUAAAAGAGUUUGAAGAUAGAGUUAUAUGUGGAAAUUCUGAAUUUCAAUAGUUGUGAAACAACUUAUAAUGUCUAGGUAAAGUAUUAAUUGAGAAAAUUAGAUUAAUUGAGGGGUUAAUUGAGAAAGGACCGAGUUGUAUAAACUGUGAAAUUUGGGGCAAAAUGGAAAUCAACAUUUUGCACUAAAGCAGUUUUGGACAGCAGCAGUAGUAUAAAUUUGAAAAAUCACCAAAAAUUUUGGGAAUUGAAUUAUAGGGUGAAUAAAAUAUGAAAUUAAAGCUUAUUGAGUCUAGUUUCUCAUAGAAGAAACGGUGUAAGCAAUGGAAUUGUAAAUCAUGAGAUAUAAUUUGUGAGACAAUGUCAGAAUGAUUUCGGGUUCCCCUAUUCUGACUUUGGAAAAUCAUAAAAAAUUGAAUAAAAAUAAUUAUGAGUUAUAAUUUAUAUGCUUAGAAUCCUUAAUGAGUCUAUUUUCAAAGGAAAUAAACGGAAACAUCAUCCAAAUUCUGUACAAUUAGAUAAUUCAUUUUUAGUAAAGAGUGGUCGGAACUAUCAGACAGCGAAACAGGGGAAAUUUUAAAGAAUAAAAUGUACUAUUUGGCUGAACAAAAAAUUCUGAAAAUUUUAUGGUAAGAAUUUAUGUGAGUCUAGUUUCAGAGAAAAUUAACGGAUCUUAAUUUGGAGCUCUUUAGUUCCGGAUAAAAAUAAUUUAGUGACUCUGACUCGGAUAAACAUUUUUGAAUAUACAUGUGAGUGAAUAGUGAAAUUAUAGCUAAUGUUGUUUAAGUGUGUUAUACACAUUAAGGAUGUGGAAUGGAGAGGAGGAGGAGGAAAAUUGGGAAAUAUAUGAGUGAUUUGUGUAUAAUUGGUCAUAUGCUUGAUUUUAAUUGAUAAACGAUGAAAUAGAAAUGAUGCUUAUAUUUGUGCAUUAUUGGUCAUGGUUUAAGCUCAUGUGUGAAAAUAAAGUUUCAUAGUAUGUGUGUAUGGUAUAUUCGGUAUAUGAUUUGGCAUGAAAUAAUGGCAUGAAUGGUUUAUGAAUUAACACAUGUUGGUAAGCCUGAUACAUGAAUAAAUGUUGUGCUCAUCCAUGCUUAUAAUGCUUAUGCUAAAUGCGUAUUUGGCUAACAUAUUUGGUGUAUAUGCUUAGGCUUUGGCCAAGUAGUGGCUAGAUUAUGCCACGUUAAAUUUAUAAGUUAUGCAUUGAAAUGGUUUAUCGUGUGGUUAGUUCCAAAAAGAGUUAUGUUUAAAUACACUAGCUUGCAACUAUGGUUGAAUGAUAUGCUUAUAUCUUGUGUGAUGUGCAUAGAAACAAAUGUGGAAAGAUAAUGAAAUAAUAAGUUCAUAUUAUUUAAGCUAAAGUGAUAUUUUCAUUGCAAAAUUGUGAAUUUCAUAAAUGUGUUAUUGAACGGUAUAAUCGAUAAACAUUGAGUUAAAUGGUAAAUACGUAUUAGUGUUGAACUUAAUGUCAUUGAAUUGUACGUGAAUUAAAUGGAAAUUGCUAGUUAAUUGAUUUAAAUUGUGAGCAUGAGAAGUUGCGAAUUGAAUGAAAUGGAAAUGAAACAUUGAAUUGCAUGAGUAUGUAUCGGGUCUCAUAGGCCCUAAUUAUUAUGAUUAUAAUAUUUUGAGGAUAUAUUGUGAAAAGUUAUAGAAACAUGUUAAUUAUUUUGAAAGUUUUAAUUUAGAUGAAAUUUUAUAAUUCGGUUAAAUACGUUUACAAGUGUAUGUGUUUUGGUAAUGCCUCAUACCCUAUUCCAGUGUUGGAUACGGGUAAGAGGUGUUACAAGUUCCAUCGAUGUCACUAAGAAUAAAUACCCACAAAUACCUUUCACUAGAAAACCGAGAAUGACAACAACAGGAGGAGAAAAAGACCAGACAGAGAAUUAAUCAUUUUGUUACAUUUAUUCAUUACAUAUCCUUCAAUAUUAAUGUAAAAGUAUUGAUUUUUUUAUUUUUAUUUUUGGCUUUGCAACGAAGCCAGCUAAGAUUUAACGCGGUUUUUUUAUGUCACAAGCAUCACACGCUCCGAAUUUCCUAUGACAGGAAUCGCCUCGUGUUCCUCUCUAUAUAAACCUCUGCCUAUCUCCCCACCAGGUUCAACCCAAAAGUCUCCCACUGGUGGUUCAAAGUCAAAAGUCAAAAACCAAACGCUCCUUUCUCACAUAUCUUGGGAUAUCAUCAUCAUGAGUAGCUCAAAGUCAUGUGUCAUCAUGCAUGAUGCUGCUGCUGAUAAUAUUAAAAAGUUUCAAAGCAGCUCAAACAUGAACAUCAUCAUGUACGUUGAGGGUGUACAUGUUAUUUCAAACUCAAAUUUACCGGCUAAACAUGAUUAUGCUCCAGCGCCAGCUUAAUUUUAAGGGGUUAUAGUAACAUUAUCAAACCCUAGUUAUAGUUUUUGCAAUGCUCUAAAACCCUAGUUAGUAUGUUGUACUGUAUGUUUUUAGGUUUUUCUUUUUGGAGUUAAUAUGCAUGCAUGCAUGAUGUAAUCUUACGAUAAUAGAUAUAGCAAUAUAUAUUGUCGUUAAUCUAUAUAUAAAUUGGUUUUCUUUAUUCAUGUAGGAUGAGAAAUUUUAGUACAGUCGUGCGGGAAUUUUGAAUAAAUAAUUUAUUUUAUUAUUAAGUAAUCAAAAGAUUGAACCUUUUUUUUAUAUAAUAGAGUCGAAUGAUUAAGAGAUGUCACAUAAAUUAAUUAACCCAACAUGCUAGCAAAUAUAUAUAUAUAUAUUAAUCAAAAACCUAAUGAUUGACUCCACCAACACAGCUUAUGCGAUGCUAAUCAUUUAAUUAAUUAUUAGUUAUUAAUAAUAAAUAGAUAUCAUGGUGGAUUAUUUUUUUGGAGUUGUAUAUGAUGACUCAAAGUCCAUGCAUUUCUACGUGCAAUAUGCUUGUGAAAUGUUGUAUGAUAUGUACUUUGUACAAGUCAUGAACCAAUAUGGCAAUAUCCAAUUUUUUGCCUAUUUUUUCAUUAAUUAAUUUCCUACUAACCUAUAAAUUAGGAGCAAAUACUAAUAACUAUGAUGUUAGUAAGUAUAUAUGUGAAAUAUAAAUUUAAAAGAAAAACGAUUUUUUUUUAAUAAGAAUAAAAAUCAGUGUAGGAGAAAUGAGGCUAAUUACUUCAGUCUUAAGAUAAAAUAUUAUUUGUUUAAUAAAUAAUUUUAUUUACUUUUAUUUUUUAAAAUAUCGUAUAUUUUAAUGCAAUAUCAAGCUUAUUCAUGAUAAACACAAACAUUUGAUAAGAUUUAAUUAUAUAUACUUUUCCCCUUUUUAUAUAUCUUUAAUACAAUGUAUAUUAGUACUAUUAUAAUAACAUGACUGUGUUUUUUUAUGUUCUUGGUGUGAUUUUUUUACUCGCAAUUUUAGAAUAAUUGAAAUUCAAAAGCUUUUUCCGUCCCUAUAAAUAUAAAGGAAUCAAUGAAAAAAAAGGUUAAAAGAUGAUAUUAUUGGGUGGAAAAUCCACAAGUAUCAAACAUAAAGAGUAAAAACAGGGGAAAUAUCAAAUAGAAAGGUAUUUUUUUAUGUAAAAUAGAAAAAUAAUUAUGUGAAACAAAAAUGUUAAUCUUUUUAAUAUCAAGAGUUAAAGUGAUACAAAUUUAAUCAUAUAUAUUAUUUUUUUUAAAAUUCACUCACAUAAUGAGUGUGAGUUGUAAUAUAAUCUAAUUUAUGGAAAAAAUGUAAAUUAUUUUUUCGAGUGCGCGCAUUAUCCUCCUAUUUAUGAAAUAGGAAGGGGAUAUGGGUAGUUUUAGACAUUACAUCAAAAAGAGCAGAUAUAAUCAAAAUCAGAUUGUUCAAAAAAAUAUUAAAUAUUAAACCUAAUUUUAUUUUUAAUAAGAUAACUUAUCAAAACACACCAUUUUAAUUAAACAAUUGUGGGCUUAAAUUUUGUAGCAUUUUGAUUUUCUUAUAUAAAAGAAUUCCAACAAGUAGCAGUAGUAGGCAAAUAACUAUUGAAUAAUCUAUCCUCAAACUAAUAAUUAUUUUGCUUUCCUAUCUGAAUACCUUUUAGAAUCACUUUAAAAUAAAUCAACAGUGUAAAUCCCUCAAAAGCCUUCCGAUUUGUUAAAUAUAAAAUAUUAAGACUAAUUAAUAAGACAAGAUCAUGAAGAUGUUUUCUUUAAUCUUUAUCAGAUUUAUUCCGCCCAGUUGAAAUUAGAUAUUCUGAGGAUUUAAUACCAAACAAGUUAGUGUUUGUCUCCAUCAAGAUUCCCCUAAUUAAUCAAAAAAAAAAGCAUCAACCAUUAUCAUUAUUAUGUGGUUUGUUAAAUCGAAAUUUAAUUAACUCGGAAUUCAAACCUUCUUUUUAAUCUCAUGAUUCAUUUGAAAAUGUCGAGCAAAAUGAACGAAAUCAAAAAUAAGAAUAAUAAAUUGAGAUAACAAAUAAGAUUUUAAAUCAAAUAAUUAUUUUUAUUUUACUCAAAGAUAAACUUACAACAUUAAACCACCCGGUAAUUAGAGAUAAAAUUAAUUUUAUUAAUGAUUUGAUAAGAUGGUUCUUGAAUUAAAAUUAAUUUUUGUAAUUACAAAAUUAUAAAUAUAUGUUUGUGCAAUUACAAAAUAGAAUCCAAUCAUUAUAAAGCAUAACAAAUGAAGAAUCGAAAACACUUAUUUUUUUGCAAAUCCAUAUAGUUGAUUAUUUGUGGUUUAAUGUUGUAGAUUUAAUCCCUUCAAUUCAAUAUAUUUGAUUAUUUAGUUGGAAAAUUAUCCCAUAUAUAGUUAAUGGAAUUUUUUAAACUUCACAAGUGGGUUAAGAUUGUGCUCUACAACUCAACUUAAAUAUUAGCAUGAGAAAAUCUUCGAUUAUUUUUUUUUUAUAUUUUGUAAUUCAAAAUAAUGAAUUGAUUUAAUUUAUUAUUUAUUUUUUUACCAAGUCCUACCAUUAAUAUCAAAUUAAAAAAUAAUUACGCGUGGCUGAAGGGGGCACAAAUGGGGACAUGGGGAGGGGGCAGAAGAUUUACGUUCGAGCAAAAUGUGAUUAUGUUGCCAUGAUGAUACCACAACUAUUUGGCCAUAGCUAGCUCCAAACCACAUGUUAGAAGAUAAUGAGCUUCACUUUUUCAUAUCCUGCGAAAGCAGCAAAAUGAUUUAAUUUUUUUUUUAGAUUCUAAUGUGUAGCCCACCACCCUGGCCCAAAGAUGACUUUACUAACAUCAAAGGCCAUUGAUGAUAUGCAGAGGAGAAUCUGCUGAUUUGUCACCUUAGGAGGCUGGACCGCGUACCGCCACCCAUGCUCGGCACUUGGGCUAGCACAAGGCAGCACAACUUUUCGUCUUUAUUCCACACUCUUCGCGUGGUAGCCUUGUGGCAGAAAGAGGCUAUUCACCACCUCUACCAACACCACCAUCUAUAUAUGCACUUAUGGCAUCCGUUCAAACCCAACUCAAGUUUCAGAUUGAAUUUUAGUAUAAUUCAACCACAACCACAAGCCACCACUAGACCCAUUUUGAAACCACAGUUCCUCCUUUGUUACAGUACAGAAGUAGAAGGAAAAUGUCAGCUUUAUCCAAGGUUGUUGCUUCAUGGUGCAAGAAGCAUGUAGAUGGAGACGAUGAUGACAAUGAUUUUGACUAUGCUCCCGCAGCAUGCAUGGAAGGCGAUGGCGACGAUGAUGAUGGAGACUAUGACUAUGCUCCAGCAGCUUCUCUCGAGGGUGAUGAUGAUGGCAACUAUGAUUAUGCUCCAGCGGCAUGAGUGAAUAUAAAUAGUUAGUCCUUAUGCUAUUUGCUCUUAACAGCAUCAAACCCUAAUCAUGGGGUUUCUAACCCAAAACUUUUUGCAAUUCUAUUAUGGAGUAAGUUCUAUGAGCGGCCCCCGAUUGUGCAAAUUUAAAGCACCUUAUGAUUGUGGGAUUUUAAGGAUUAUUUUAAAUGAUAUUCAUGGAAAACAUGGGAUUAUUUUAAAUAAUUUACGUUUAAGGAUGAUGAUGAUGAUAGAUGGCCAUCAUCACUAUAUUAUUAACUACUCAACUAGCACUUUGUUCAGGUUAUCGUGGAAGAAAUUAAAUAAUAUUAUCUCAGUUUUGUACUUAAGCAUAAUCCAAUUUUUUUAAAAGAAUGUUUUAUUGUCUGUUGGUGUCUUGGUAAAUAUCAGUCAAACAAGUCAAUGUAGAGCUAAUUAAUUACUGUUUCGUUAGGCCAAAAGGUCCAAUCCAAUGUUAUUAUUUUACAUUAAAACCGAAAAAUAAUAAUCAAAAGUGCUCGUGUUAAAC